This 468-nucleotide ribosomal RNA is filed under the name uncultured bacterium. RNAcentral's name for it is "partial 16S ribosomal RNA". It matches the Rfam family "Bacterial small subunit ribosomal RNA", at positions 28 to 507 of the family's 1533-position model. The record is from RNAcentral.
GACGAACGCUGGCGGCGUGCUUAACACAUGCAAGUCGAACGGACAGGCCCUGAUUUUGUGGGGUGCUUGAGUGGCGAACGGGUGAGUAACACGUGAGUAACCUGCACUUGACUUUGGGAUAACUUCUGGAAAAUGGGGCUCAUACCGGAUAGGAGAUCCUGCUGCAUGGUGGGGGUUAGAAAGUUUCGGUGGUUGGGGAUGGAAUCGCGGCUUAUCAGCUUGUUUGUGGGGUAGUGGCUUACCAAGGCUUUGACGGCUAGCCGGCCUGAGAGGGUGACCGGCCACAUUGGGACUGAGAGACGGCCCAGACGCCUACGGUAGGCAGCAGUGGGGAAUAUUGCAGAAUGGGCGGAAGCCUGAUGCAGCAACGCCGCGUGCGUGAUGACGUCCUUCGGGUUGUAAACCGCUUUCGCCGGUGACGAAGCGUGAGUGACGGUAAUGGGUAAAGAAGCACCGGCUAACUACGUG